Molecule: non-coding RNA, 68 nt
Organism: Podarcis lilfordi (Lilford's wall lizard)
Lineage: Eukaryota; Metazoa; Chordata; Lepidosauria; Squamata; Lacertidae
Source: the annotation of a GenBank genome assembly
GUUAUAGCUCAGUAGCAGAACAUCUGUUUUUCAUGCAGAAGGUCCAGGCUCAAUCCCUAGCAUCUCCA